AGAGUUUGAUCCUGGCUCAGGACGAACGCUGGCGGCGUGCCUAAUACAUGCAAGUCGAACGCUUCUUUUCCCACCGGAGCUUGCUCCACCGGGGAAAGAGGAGUGGCGAACGGGUGAGUAACACGUGGGUAACCUGCCCAUCAGAAGGGGAUAACACUUGGAAACAGGUGCUAAUACCGUAUAACAAUCGAAACCGCAUGGUUUCGUUUUGAAAGGCGCUUUACGGUGCCGCUGAUGGAUGGACCCGCGGUGCAUUAGCUAGUUGGUGAGGUAACGGCUCACCAAGGCCACGAUGCAUAGCCGACCUGAGAGGGUGAUCGGCCACAUUGGGACUGAGACACGGCCCAAACUCCUACGGGAGGCAGCAGUAGGGAAUCUUCGGCAAUGGACGAAAGUCUGACCGAGCAACGCCGCGUGAGUGAAGAAGGUUUUCGGAUCGUAAAACUCUGUUGUUAGAGAAGAACAAGGGUGAGAGUAACUGUUCACCCCUUGACGGUAUCUAACCAGAAAGCCACGGCUAACUACGUGCCAGCAGCCGCGGUAAUACGUAGGUGGCAAGCGUUGUCCGGAUUUAUUGGGCGUAAAGCGAGCGCAGGCGGUUUCUUAAGUCUGAUGUGAAAGCCCCCGGCUCAACCGGGGAGGGUCAUUGGAAACUGGGAGACUUGAGUGCAGAAGAGGAGAGUGGAAUUCCAUGUGUAGCGGUGAAAUGCGUAGAUAUAUGGAGGAACACCAGUGGCGAAGGCGGCUCUCUGGUCUGUAACUGACGCUGAGGCUCGAAAGCGUGGGGAGCAAACAGGAUUAGAUACCCUGGUAGUCCACGCCGUAAACGAUGAGUGCUAAGUGUUGGAGGGUUUCCGCCCUUCAGUGCUGCAGCUAACGCAUUAAGCACUCCGCCUGGGGAGUACGACCGCAAGGUUGAAACUCAAAGGAAUUGACGGGGGCCCGCACAAGCGGUGGAGCAUGUGGUUUAAUUCGAAGCAACGCGAAGAACCUUACCAGGUCUUGACAUCCUUUGACCACUCUAGAGAUAGAGCUUCCCCUUCGGGGGCAAAGUGACAGGUGGUGCAUGGUUGUCGUCAGCUCGUGUCGUGAGAUGUUGGGUUAAGUCCCGCAACGAGCGCAACCCUUAUUGUUAGUUGCCAUCAUUUAGUUGGGCACUCUAGCAAGACUGCCGGUGACAAACCGGAGGAAGGUGGGGAUGACGUCAAAUCAUCAUGCCCCUUAUGACCUGGGCUACACACGUGCUACAAUGGGAAGUACAACGAGUCGCGAAGUCGCGAGGCUAAGCUAAUCUCUUAAAGCUUCUCUCAGUUCGGAUUGUAGGCUGCAACUCGCCUACAUGAAGCCGGAAUCGCUAGUAAUCGCGGAUCAGCACGCCGCGGUGAAUACGUUCCCGGGCCUUGUACACACCGCCCGUCACACCACGAGAGUUUGUAACACCCGAAGUCGGUGAGGUAACCUUUUUGGAGCCAGCCGCCUAAGGUGGGAUAGAUGAUUGGGGUGAAGUCGUAACAAGGUAACC
Molecule: ribosomal RNA, 1522 nt
Filed under: uncultured Enterococcus sp.
Lineage: Bacteria; Bacillati; Bacillota; Bacilli; Lactobacillales; Enterococcaceae
Description: bacterial SSU rRNA
Rfam family: Bacterial small subunit ribosomal RNA
Source: RNAcentral